Symphalangus syndactylus (siamang) is the source of this 838-nucleotide long non-coding RNA. RefSeq lists it as uncharacterized. NCBI's taxonomy places the organism in Eukaryota, Metazoa, Chordata, Mammalia, Primates, Hylobatidae. The record is from RefSeq and is a predicted model, not a curated record.
AAACUACCAAUUGGUGUCCUGCUGAGACAAAAAAAUAUUCUCACAGCUCAAGACAAGUUAGAUAUCCACUUGUGGGAACAGUGCUGAAGGCCUGGACUAAGAUGGUAGCAAUGGAGACAGACUAAAGGUCAGCAUAACAGUCAACAUUAACGGGGUUGAAUCAACAGCACAAAGUGCCUGAUUGGAAAUACAGAGAAAAUUACAGUGAGAAAAAGAGAUGCAAUCAUUCCCUUGCAUAUGGUGCAUAUGAAGAUGGGAUCAUUACAGGAAAGAUCAAGGAGAUACAGUCAUUAUGCUCUAUAUACACCCAUUUUCAUGGCUAGAGGCUGAAGAUGGGAUGCUUUCUUUGCUGGAAGACCUAUUACCUGUUAGGUUGCAAAAGAUGGGAUCAUCAUCCUAAACAAUAAGUUAGAGUCCCAUAACAAUUUUAAGUGUACUGUUCAUGAAAAUUUGAAUACAUUGUAUUGGGAAUAUAACGGAAGUGAGAUGCCUCAUGUCAUGAGAAAAUCUGACAUAAACUCCUUAAGCAUGAGAGGCCAUGUGGGUAUGGAAGCCCUGAAAGGGAGCAAAAAACAGCCAGACCCUAGCUAUUCCAGUCAUCCCAAAUGAGGUGCCAGACUUGUGAAUGAGGCCAUCUUGCAUCAUCUAGGCCUAGUAGAGCUGCCAACUGACUGCAAACACAUGACUCAAUGCAGUUAAUGCCACAUGGAGCAGAGACAAGCUGCCCAGCUGAGCCCAGUCCAGAUGACAGAAUCAUGAGCAAAUAAGGUUGUUGUUCUUUUAAGCCACUAAAUUUUUGGGUGAUUUGUUAUGCAGUAAUAAAUAACUGAAACAACUA